UAAUAAUUUCUGUCAAAAUCCCCAAAAUCUCCAAAAUCGUUGCAUCCUCAGAUUCUUUCUAUCAGAUUGAAAAUCCCCAAAAUCCAUCUUCUCAAUUGCAACCAUAGCUCCCGAUUUUCCCAAAGCCCAUCUCUUCUCAAAUGCAAAUCAUGAAUUCCCGAUUUUGAUUCUCAAUCAACUGUGCGUCUUGUGGAUCUUAGUUUAGGGCUAAAGGAAACAAUCACGUACGCAUCUCGGGCGACUGGCCGAAGACGAAAACUCCUUAGCAGCGUGGUCAUCCCCCCGACGGUAAUCUUUCUUUUAUUGUUCAUUAUUAAGCUUAAUUGGAUUGCAGCGUGGUCAUCCCUCACCUCCUUAGUUGGAUUGCAGAAUGUUUUUAUUAAGCUUAAUCUUACCUGUUAGUCAAUCAGUUCAUCUUGUGGAAAGAUAGAUUGCUAGAAGGUUUAUUUAAGGGUAUUAUUAGUACUAGAUUGGAAAGCUAAAGUAUUGGUUUCUUUAAAGCUCUGUGGUAAGCUAAAGAUUGAAAGUUUUGAAUGUUAGAGUAAAAAGUAGAGAAAAAAAGACAGUUUGGAGGCUAUGAUUUUUAUAUUUGGUUACUUUAAACACGAUGAGCUCUUAUCCAAGUCUCUAUAUCCCAUAGAUGGUAGAUCUCUCUCUACAUCACAUAUACUAAUCCUGACUAUAUAUAUUAUAAUAUGGGCCUAUUCUUCUCCCACUUGUUAAUUUUUUAUUUUCUCUUUUUAAUAAUAGUAAUAUAGAAUAAUAAAAUAUCUUUAAUAUUUUAAUAUAAUUUUGUUAUCAGUUCAUCUUGUGGAAAGAUAGAAUGAGAUUGGUUUAUUUAAGGGUAUUAUUAGUACUAGAUUGGAAAGCUAAAGUAUUGCUUUCUAAGGAUCUAAUAAUAAUAAUAAUAAUAAUAAUAAUAAUAAUAAUAAUUUGACAAAUUUUAAUGAUGUUCUGUUCAGAAAGGAUGCCUCUUGAUCGAAGUUGGAUUGAUAGGCGAGUUGCUGAAAAUGGAAGAACAAUUAGUGAAGAAUUUAGAGAGGGAGUAAAGGAAUUCCUCAAUUUUGCUUACUCUAUUCCUGGG
RNAcentral lists this long non-coding RNA (1084 nucleotides) under Panax ginseng (ginseng). RNAcentral describes it as "long non-coding RNA (PGIN_LNC007229)". The record is from RNAcentral. Lineage: Eukaryota; Viridiplantae; Streptophyta; Magnoliopsida; Apiales; Araliaceae.